AGCACUUGUGUUUGUUUUUGUUUAACUUAUGGACAGGUGCAAAAAAUAAUCCUUUUUUGCAACCCAGAACUCAUUGUUUAGUAUGAGUUUUACUACAUAUAAGAAGGAAUAUU
This is a small nucleolar RNA of Cynocephalus volans (Philippine flying lemur), 113 nucleotides long. RefSeq annotates it as small nucleolar RNA SNORA40. The record is from RefSeq and is a predicted model, not a curated record. The transcript has a single exon. Lineage: Eukaryota; Metazoa; Chordata; Mammalia; Dermoptera; Cynocephalidae.